This 70-nucleotide transfer RNA is filed under the name Pterocles gutturalis (yellow-throated sandgrouse). Its description in RNAcentral is "tRNA-Pro". It matches the Rfam family "tRNA". Rfam says of the family: Transfer RNA (tRNA) molecules are approximately 80 nucleotides in length. Their secondary structure includes four short double-helical elements and three loops (D, anti-codon, and T loops). Further hydrogen bonds mediate the characteristic L-shaped molecular structure. tRNAs have two regions of fundamental functional importance: the anti-codon, which is responsible for specific mRNA codon recognition, and the 3' end, to which the tRNAs corresponding amino acid is attached (by aminoacyl-tRNA synthetases). tRNAs cope with the degeneracy of the genetic code in two manners: having more than one tRNA (with a specific anti-codon) for a particular amino acid; and 'wobble' base-pairing, i.e. permitting non-standard base-pairing at the 3rd anti-codon position. Lineage: Eukaryota; Metazoa; Chordata; Aves; Pterocliformes; Pteroclidae. The record is from RNAcentral.
CAGAAAAUAGUUUAGUGUAGAACGUCAGCUUUGGGGGUUGGCGGUGGAGGUUAAAGUCCUUCUUUUCUGA